UACGGAGGGUGCGAGCGUUAAUCGGAAUUACUGGGCGUAAAGCGCGCGUAGGUGGCUUGAUAAGCCGGUUGUGAAAGCCCCGGGCUCAACCUGGGAACGGCAUCCGGAACUGUCAAGCUAGAGUGCAGGAGAGGAAUGUAGAAUUCCCGGUGUAGCGGUGAAAUGCGUAGAGAUCGGGAGGAAUACCAGUGGCGAAGGCGGCCUUCUGGACUGACACUGACACUGAGGUGCGAAAGCGUGGGUAGCAAACAGG
RNAcentral lists this ribosomal RNA (253 nucleotides) under uncultured microorganism. RNAcentral's name for it is "partial 16S ribosomal RNA". It matches the Rfam family "Bacterial small subunit ribosomal RNA", at positions 524 to 776 of the family's 1533-position model. The record is from RNAcentral.